ACGUCUCUCAAUCUUUUUAAAGAACUGCAACAUGUCAGCUGCCAUCGCCGCUGCCGCUGCUGCCGUGGCUUGCAAUUCUACAGGUUCAUCAAGAAACGGGAACAAUCAUCAACAGAUGGAACAGGCAACCUUAUCACCAUCACUGCCGCUACCACCGCCAUCGCUGCCAUUAAGUCGGUAUGAAUCCCAAAAGAGACGAGACUGGAAUACUUUUGGCCAGUACCUCAGAAACCACCGACCACCCUUAGCACUAUCCCGUUGCAGCGGCGCUCAUGUGCUGGAGUUCUUAAGGUAUCUUGACCAGUUUG
RNAcentral lists this long non-coding RNA (308 nucleotides) under Manihot esculenta (cassava). Its description in RNAcentral is "long non-coding RNA (MESC_LNC003463)". The record is from RNAcentral. Lineage: Eukaryota; Viridiplantae; Streptophyta; Magnoliopsida; Malpighiales; Euphorbiaceae.